UACGAAGGGGGCUAGCGUUGUUCGGAAUUACUGGGCGUAAAGCGCGCGCAGGCGGUUCUUCAAGUCAGAGGUGAAAGCCCAGAGCUCAACUCUGGAAUGGCCUUUGAGACUAGAGAACUUGGGUACGGGAGAGGUGAGUGGAAUUCCGAGUGUAGAGGUGAAAUUCGUAGAUAUUCGGAGGAACACCAGUGGCGAAGGCGGCUCACUGGACUCUUGCUGACGCUGAGGUGCGAAAGCGUGGGGAGCAAACAGG
RNAcentral lists this ribosomal RNA (253 nucleotides) under uncultured bacterium. RNAcentral describes it as "partial 16S ribosomal RNA". It matches the Rfam family "Bacterial small subunit ribosomal RNA", at positions 524 to 776 of the family's 1533-position model. The record is from RNAcentral.